This is a long non-coding RNA of Halichondria panicea, 631 nucleotides long. RefSeq lists it as uncharacterized. NCBI's taxonomy places the organism in Eukaryota, Metazoa, Porifera, Demospongiae, Suberitida, Halichondriidae. The transcript is spliced from 3 exons. The record is from RefSeq and is a predicted model, not a curated record.
UCUGACAACAAGAUAGACCUGCCGCACACGUCUACACAUAGAUAUUCCAAAGUUUUAGUCUUGGAUCUCUGAUGAUGCUCGUAUUUGGUGGGAGCAAUUUGAAUUUGGAAUUACCCCCUGGCCCUUGCUACAUCUCCAAGAAGUUUGUCAACUGGCCCAACUCCCAGCCUCAGGAUCAGCAGAUAUGAGCUGUGAUGCGCCUCAGAAUACCCAGCUUCAAGCUCUAUUUGCUGCAGAGAAUGAAGAGUGCAAUGUGUACACUGGGGCCUACCGAAAGCAAUCACGGACAGAUGUUAGGGAGGUGCAGGAUUUAGCAGGUCUCAAGAUUGAUCAGUUGCUGGCAGCCAGAAGCUGUCCAAGCAGUAACAUCGAGCCAUGGAUUGCUCAAGUUCGAUCGAUCUCAGAUUCAGAGGUAUAGAAUUGUCUGGAUGGAAGGGAAAUACAACAGCAAAUGGAUAGUGGCAAGAAGACAGGAUCCAGAAAACAAGAAGAAGCGAAUUGAGUGGGAAGAUUCAGUCACGAAAUCCUCAAUACUCUUGUAUGAUUUCCAGUUACGUCCACCAGUCAUCUACGUAAAAAGACAAUAAAACAUUUAAAGAGUGUAUACCAAGAGCUAAAGCAAAGUAACACC